This is an unclassified non-coding RNA of Saimiri boliviensis boliviensis (Bolivian squirrel monkey), 300 nucleotides long. It matches the Rfam family "Metazoan signal recognition particle RNA". From Rfam's summary of the family: The signal recognition particle (SRP) is a universally conserved ribonucleoprotein. It is involved in the co-translational targeting of proteins to membranes. The record is from Ensembl. Lineage: Eukaryota; Metazoa; Chordata; Mammalia; Primates; Cebidae.
GCUGGGCACAGUGGCAUGUGCCUGUAGUCCCAGCUACUCAGGAGGCUGAGGCUGGAGGAUCACUUGAGUCCGGGAGUUCUGGGCUGUAGUGCGCUAUGCCAAUCGGGUGUUCGAACUAAGUUUGGCAUCAAUAUGGUGACCUCCCAGGACCAGGGGACCACUCAGGUUGCCGAAGAAGGGGUGAACUGGCCCAGGUCAGAAACAGAGCAGGUCUAAACUCAUGUGCUGAUCAGUAGUGGGAUUGCGCCUGUGAAUAGCCACUGCACUCCAGCCUGAGCAAAAUAUCGAGACCCCGUCUCU